Long non-coding RNA from Jaculus jaculus (lesser Egyptian jerboa), 1007 nucleotides. RefSeq lists it as uncharacterized. Lineage: Eukaryota; Metazoa; Chordata; Mammalia; Rodentia; Dipodidae. The record is from RefSeq and is a predicted model, not a curated record. The transcript is spliced from 4 exons.
GCUAGGUUUAGAAUACAGAAAUACGUUACCAUGAGAUCUUCACUUUGAAAGGAAUUGUCUGGUGGUCGGCCUUGAUUUGCACUCAGCUGGUCAUACUCACCUGGUUUCCCUUGUGGAAAAAUUAGUGAGAAAACAGAAGCAUGGAGAGGAAAACUAACCCACCCAAGGCCACAAACUGCCACAGCUGAAUUUUCAACUCAGAUAGUUUCAUACACUUCACCACAUGGAAUAGUUCCUUCUACAUUUAUGACUCCAGCAGUUCCAAGUUAAACUACAGAUCAAACAUGGUUUUUAUGCUAUCCUGCUCUGAGGAUCAUAUGCCAAAUUUUUGCCUCUAGACAAUACCGUAAGAUAUUUUUUCACCUCCAAGGAUAAGUAGAAGCAAUGUACAUAUGUUAGCAAGAAACAGUUACAAGUUUGAAAUAUUUGUCCUCUUCUGUUUAAGAAUAAAGAGUAAAAUUCUCUGAGAAAGUAAUGAGACAGGUAUAGGUCAAUGCUGGGACAAAGAAAAGUAAGCUUCCUAGCCUUAUCCCAUAUCCAGUUACCAAUUAAAAGUGAAGAACUCAGGAUAUGUGUCUUCUGCUGCUCUUCCCUGCUUAUCCAAUAGAAGAUACACCUUAAAAACAUGAAUCAUACAAAACAAGUCCAUGGACAAUGGACUGAGCUAUAUCUUAUGUAAGGAAGAAGAUUCUUAAGACAUACCAGAAUCAUUAUCAGUACAAAUUCACCUGACCAAAGGCAAUCCAAGAAAUAAAAAUAAAAGCUUGCACUUUUCUUUGUUCAAGAAGAAGCCUGUGUUCUCCCUCAGUCAAUACUGUCUCUUUUCUUAUUGAACUGAAGUUGGCUAAAGUUCAAGGUUUCUUUCAAAGUUUUGGUUAUAUAUUCAGAAUAUUUUCCUCAGUAAUACUAUAAUAGGAGAUAGGGAAUGGGGCAAAAAAGUCCUGUCUCCAGUAUCACCUUUGUCUCAGAGGACAACUAUGUAAACAUUUGUUUCAUUGAGGGUGGCA